This 467-nucleotide ribosomal RNA is filed under the name uncultured bacterium. Its description in RNAcentral is "partial 16S ribosomal RNA". It matches the Rfam family "Bacterial small subunit ribosomal RNA", at positions 28 to 507 of the family's 1533-position model. The record is from RNAcentral.
GAUGAACGCUGGCGGCGUGCUUAACACAUGCAAGUCGAACGGAAAGGCCCAAGCUUGCUUGGGUACUCGAGUGGCGAACGGGUGAGUAACACGUGGGUGAUCUGCCCUGCACUUCGGGAUAAGCCUGGGAAACUGGGUCUAAUACCGGAUAGGACAACUUCUUGGAGGUUGUGGUGGAAAGUUUUUUCGGUGUGGGAUGAGCUGGCGGCCUAUCAGCUUGUUGGUGGGGUAAUGGCCUACCAAGGCGUCGGCGGGUAGCCGGCCUGAGAGGGUGUACGGCCACAUUGGGACUGAGAGACGGCCGAGGCGCCGACGGGUGGAAGCAGUGGGGAAUCUUGAACAAGGGGCGCAGGCCUGAUGCAGCGACGCCGCGUGGGGGAUGACGGCCUUCGGGUUGUAAACUCCUUUCGCUAGGGACGAAGCGUUUUGUGACGGUACCUGGAGAAGAAGCACCGGCUAACUACGUG